UACGUAGGGUGCGAGCGUUAAUCGGAAUUACUGGGCGUAAAGCGUGCGCAGGCGGUUUUGUAAGCCAGAUGUGAAAUCCCCGGGCUCAACCUGGGAACUGCAUUUGUGACUGCAUCGCUGGAGUACGGCAGAGGGGGAUGGAAUUCCGCGUGUAGCAGUGAAAUGCGUAGAUAUGCGGAGGAACACCGAUGGCGAAGGCAAUCCCCUGGGCCUGUACUGACGCUCAUGCACGAAAGCGUGGGGAGCAAACAGG
This 253-nucleotide ribosomal RNA is filed under the name uncultured bacterium. RNAcentral describes it as "partial 16S ribosomal RNA". It matches the Rfam family "Bacterial small subunit ribosomal RNA", at positions 524 to 776 of the family's 1533-position model. The record is from RNAcentral.